AGUUGUCUCAGGUUCAGUUGCAGUCUGGUAAUAUUGAAGUUGCUCUUGACUAUCUAUCUGAAGCUGUGCAAUUGUUUGCUCAAGUCUUUGGGCCACUACAUGUCAACAUAGCAAACUGUUAUAAAGUUAUUGCACGAAUUCAUCAUGCUCUAGGAGACAGUAAACUAGUAAGUGGUGCAUGUAACUACAUUUUAGUUUAAAUGA
Molecule: long non-coding RNA, 204 nt
Organism: Amphimedon queenslandica
Lineage: Eukaryota; Metazoa; Porifera; Demospongiae; Haplosclerida; Niphatidae
Exons: 3
Source: RefSeq, a predicted model, not a curated record